UGGUCGGUACUUGGCGGGCAGCAGCAGAAGAGCGUAGAAUGUGAAGGCCAGGAGCAAGUGCUGGCAAGAAAACAUAGUACUUGUGAAUUCUCUUCGGUCUGCUUAUGCAUGUUUUUAAGACUGAUGGCCAGAUCAGUGCAAAUUUAAGGAGAUGAAUGUAGUCCUGCGUUGAUGGUUCCGAUGAGGCCAGUUAGCAAAUCGGAAGGCUGGGAUAAAGCCAUCAGAUAUGAUAGAGGAUGCAUUAUAUCCUGCUUCAAGGUCUGAAAGAAGAGCUGACAAGGAAUCUUGGUGUAAGCAGUCAUCUUUUGGACUAUUUCCUUGCUGUUUCUUCGUAAAUUUCGUGAAAUAUCAUGUCGAGCUUGUAUCAUUAUAGCCGACUACCUAAUUUUGUUUGUUCUAUAUAAUUCCAUGUGACAUUUCGUACUUGCUAAAAGGAAAAAUUGCAAGCCUAAGAUAGGAGAUAGUAAUAAAUUAGAUUUAUUACUUUACUCUUUUGCUUGAUGCAUAUAAGAAUAUGCAUUUAAUUA
Molecule: long non-coding RNA, 527 nt
Organism: Lolium rigidum
Lineage: Eukaryota; Viridiplantae; Streptophyta; Magnoliopsida; Poales; Poaceae
Exons: 2
Source: RefSeq, a predicted model, not a curated record